Molecule: unclassified non-coding RNA, 307 nt
Filed under: Hevea brasiliensis (rubber tree)
Lineage: Eukaryota; Viridiplantae; Streptophyta; Magnoliopsida; Malpighiales; Euphorbiaceae
Source: RNAcentral
GAUAUGAACCUUCUGGCACAUGGUGCCCUACAAUUAUUGGCUCUUGAGCCCUACAGUUUUGGCACUCCGUGCCCUACAGUUAUAGUUUUUUCUUAUCUAACUAGGCGAUCCUGCUAAGAGUUUAUAGGGGCUGAGACAUAACUAAUAUGGUAUAAUUUAACUAAUGCUUGUCAUAUAAUAAGUUUUUAUUUUUAGUCUUUUUGAAUCUUGCUUAUGAAUAUGCAUGAUUAUUAAUAUUAUAAAAAUUGUUGUUUCAAAUGCAUGUUAUUUUCAUGCUUACAUAUUUUCUUUUAUGGAUGAGUUUAGC